UACGGGGGGAGCAAGCGUUGUUCGGAUUUACUGGGCGUAAAGGGCGCGUAGGCGGCGUGUUAAGUCAGCUGUGAAAUCUCCAAGCUUAACUUGGAACGGUCAGCUGAUACUGAUGUGCUAGAGUGCAGAAGGGGCAACCGGAAUUCUUGGUGUAGCGGUGAAAUGCGUAGAUAUCAAGAGGAACACCUGAGGUGAAGACGGGUUGCUGGGCUGACACUGACGCUGAGGCGCGAAAGCUAGGGUAGCAAACGGG
Molecule: ribosomal RNA, 253 nt
Filed under: uncultured bacterium
Lineage: Bacteria
Description: partial 16S ribosomal RNA
Rfam family: Bacterial small subunit ribosomal RNA
Source: RNAcentral